Molecule: ribosomal RNA, 520 nt
Filed under: uncultured Glomus
Lineage: Eukaryota; Fungi; Glomeromycota; Glomeromycetes; Glomerales; Glomeraceae
Description: SSU rRNA
Rfam family: Eukaryotic small subunit ribosomal RNA
Source: RNAcentral
AGCAGCCGCGGUAAUUCCAGCUCCAAUAGCGUAUAUUAAAGUUGUUGCAGUUAAAAGGCUCGUAGUUGAAUUUCGGGGUUAGUAGGUCGGUCAUGCCACUGGUAUGUACUGGUCUCACUGAUUCCUCCUUCCUGAUGAACCGUAAUGCCAUUAAUUUGGUGUUGCGGGGAGACUGGACUGUUACUUUGAAAAAAUUAGAGUGUUUAAAGCAGGCUAACGCUUGAAUACAUUAGCAUGGAAUAAUGAAAUAGGACGUUCGAUCCUAUUUUGUUGGUUUCUAGGAUUGACGUAAUGAUUAAUAGGGAUAGUUGGGGGCAUUAGUAUUCAAUUGUCAGAGGUGAAAUUCUUGGAUUUAUUGAAGACUAACUACUGCGAAAGCAUUUGCCAAGGAUGUUUUCAUUAAUCAAGAACGAAAGUUAGGGGAUCGAAGACGAUCAGAUACCGUCGUAGUCUUAACCAUAAACUAUGCCGACUAGGGAUCGGAUGAUGUUAAUUUUUAAUGACUCAUUCGGCGCCUUAC